AAAAAAGGAAGCUAAUGUUUCGUUUCGGCAAAUUGUUUCCAUUUUGAGUAGUUUUUACUAAUAAUACGUGGAAGGUGACGGUAGUGUUAGUGUUAACUUCCUGCUAACGCUAACGUUAGCCCAAGCUACCGGUGGAUGCUAAUGCUGGCGCUAACUGCUCAUACUCUUAAAUCUCCUGUGGAAGCAAACAACGCCAGCGGCCGAAGAAGCAAGUGCAUCGGAAGGCAGAUCAAAACUAUUUCUAGUGGAUAGUAGACUGUAGGGAAGUAUUUCUACUGAGAAUGUAACUUUAAACACAAAGCGAGCUAACUAGCUAGGACAGGGAUGACACAAACAGCUGCACAUGCUGUCGUUCAUGGUCACUGAGCUGAACUCGUCCAGGAGUUGGACUUGGACUUGAUCGAUGAUUUCCUCUAAAAUUCUGGAAGAACGUCGUUUAGAUCAGUACAUUGUCAGGAGUAAAGGAGUUGUUGACCACUGGGAGGAGGCUCAGAUCUUCAGAGCAGGGACUUCUGGCUGGUCCAAGGUCAAGCCUGACAACGAUAGAUAAUCGCUUUGCUGUUGUUGCUCCUCGACUGUGGUACAGCAGUGAUUCGUACACUCUUCUCACUGGCCUUAUCCACUUGCAUCUGGGGCCAAAGUUUGGUGUUCAGGAUCAAUCGGAGGCUGCCCUGGGUCCUCAUCACUGGACGAUCUUAGAAGCAUGUGAAUGGGCUCCCCCUUGUGGUCACCGUCAGACAGUCUGAAUUAUCAGUGGAUUUAAUCACCUUAAGUAAAAUGUCAUUAAUUUUUAACUGAGAAAAAUGUUCCUGAUUUCUCUCAUCAUCCCGGGAUUUUCUUGCAUUCAACUCACCAUGAAAGCAAGCAUUCAAACCAUGCACUGGCUGCACCACAAGAAACUGAUCCUGUGCACAAUAACACCAAGUUGUGUUCUUUUUUUCACC
Molecule: long non-coding RNA, 944 nt
Organism: Monopterus albus (swamp eel)
Lineage: Eukaryota; Metazoa; Chordata; Actinopteri; Synbranchiformes; Synbranchidae
Exons: 4
Source: RefSeq, a predicted model, not a curated record